UUGGCUCAGUCGGUAGUA
This 18-nucleotide microRNA is filed under the name Callorhinchus milii (elephant shark). RNAcentral's name for it is "eshark_NOVEL_125". The record is from RNAcentral. Lineage: Eukaryota; Metazoa; Chordata; Chondrichthyes; Chimaeriformes; Callorhinchidae.